UGUUGCUGGCCUCCCAAACGGGGCAUGUGCACGCUCUGUUUACGCAUCCACUCACACCUGUGCACCCUCUGUAGCCCUAUGGUUCGGAAGACCCUGUCUUCCUUCUGUAGCUCUACGUCUUUACACACACGCUGUAGCGAUGUCUCAUGGAAUGUUUUUAUGCGUUUAACGCGAUACAAUACAACUUUCAGCAACGGAUCUCUUGGCUCUCGCAUCGAUGAAGAACGCAGCGAAAUGCGAUAAGUAAUGUGAAUUGCAGAAUUCAGUGAAUCAUCGAAUCUUUGAACGCACCUUGCGCCCCUUGGUUAUUCCUUGGAGCAUGCCUGUUUGAGUAUCAUGAACACCUCAACUCUCACGGUCUUCUGUGAUGAGCUUGGACUUUGGGGGUUUGCUGGCCCUGCGGCCGGCUCCUCUCAAAUGAAUCAGCUUGCCAGUGUUUGGUGGCAUCAUGGGUGUGAUAACUAUCUACGCUCGCGGUCGUCUGCCAGGUAACCCUCAGCAAUGAAGGUUCAUUGGAGCUCACAAACGUCUCUCCUCGG
RNAcentral lists this ribosomal RNA (539 nucleotides) under uncultured fungus. RNAcentral's name for it is "eukaryotic LSU rRNA". The stretch from base 183 to 337 matches the Rfam family "5.8S ribosomal RNA". Lineage: Eukaryota; Fungi. The record is from RNAcentral.